RNAcentral lists this ribosomal RNA (1955 nucleotides) under bioreactor sludge metagenome. RNAcentral describes it as "bacterial LSU rRNA". It matches the Rfam family "Bacterial large subunit ribosomal RNA", at positions 1 to 1977 of the family's 2925-position model. The record is from RNAcentral.
UCAAGCGCGAGAAGGGCGUUUGGUGGAUGCCUUGGCGGCAAGAGGCGAUGAAGGACGCGGCACUCUGCGAUAAGCCCGGGGGAGGCGAGAGCACCCUUUGAUCCCGGGAUUUCCGAAUGGGGCAACCCACCUGACACUGUUUUGUUUAUCCGACUGCCAGCGGCUCGGGGACGCAGGUCCUCAAGCGGCGAAGCGGUAGGACGAAACAAAGUGGUGAGACAGGUACUUUCUUCCUGAACACAUAGGGUUGAAAGAGCGAACGCGGGGAACUGAAACAUCUCAGUACCCGCAGGAAAGGAAAUCAACAGAUACUCCCCCAGUAGCGGCGAGCGAACGGGGACCAGCCGAGCCUUGAGAGUUAGCAGAACCAGCUGGAAAGCUGGGCGAGAUGGGUGACAGCCCCGUAUGCGACAGCUCGAGAGGACACAUCAAGUAGGGCGGGACACGUGAAAUCCUGUCUGAAGAUCGGGGGACCACCCUCGAAGGCUAAGUACUCCUUGCCGACCGAUAGCGAACCAGUACCGUGAGGGAAAGGUGAAAAGCACCCCGACAAGGGGAGUGAAACAGUUCCUGAAACCGGACGCCUACAAACAGUCGGAGCCUGCGGGGUCUCUUCGGAGACCGUGACGGGUGACGGCGUACCUUUUGUAUAAUGGGUCAACGACUUGGUCUCACGAGCAAGCUUAAGCCGCUAGGCGUAGGCGCAGCGAAAGCGAGUCUGAAGAGGGCGCUUCAGUUCGUGGGAUCAGACCCGAAACCGAGUGAUCUAGGCAUGUCCAGGAUGAAGGUGCGGUAACACGCACUGGAGGUCCGAACCCACACCUGUUGAAAAAGGUCGGGAUGAGGUGUGCCUAGGGGUGAAAGGCCAAUCAAACUCGGAGAUAGCUGGUUCUCCGCGAAAUCUAUUUAGGUAGAGCGUCGGACGAAUACUCCCGGGGGUAGAGCACUGGAUGGGUAAUGGGGACCCACAGUCUUACUGAUCCUAACCAAACUCCGAAUACCGGGAAGUACUAUCCGGCAGACACACGGCGGGUGCUAAGGUCCGUCGUGAAAAGGGAAACAGCCCUGACCUGCAGCUAAGGCCCCCAAUUCGUGGCUAAGUGGGAAAGCAUGUGGGACGACCAAAACAACCAGGAUGUUGGCUUAGAAGCAGCCAUCAUUUAAAGAAAGCGUAACAGCUCACUGGUCUAGACAAGUUGUCCUGCGGCGAAGAUGUAACGGGGCUCAAGCCACGAGCCGAAGCUCAGGGUGCGCAGCAAUGCGCGCGGUAGCGGAGCGUUCCGUGAUCAGCUCCAUGCCUCUUCAGCGUCCCUCGGGACCCUGCGGAGGCUGGGAGCUUUCUGUGAAGCCGGGCCGUGAGGCAUCCGGUGGAGAGAUCGGAAGCGAGAAUGUUGACAUGAGUAGCGACAAAGCGGGUGAGAGACCCGCUCGCCGAAAGUCCAAGGGUUCCUGCUUAAAGCUAAUCUGAGCAGGGUGAGCCGACCCCUAAGGCGAGGCCGAAAGGCGUAGUCGAUGGGAACCGGGUUAAUAUUCCCGGGCCAGGAGGAAGUGACGGAUCGCGGCUGUUGUCUGGUCUUAUCGGAUUGAUCAGGCUUCGAGGCGGUUCCUGGAAAUAGCCCUCCAUCAGAUCGUACCCGAAACCGACACAGGUGGACUGGUAGAGCAUACCAAGGCGCUUGAGAGAACUACGUUGAAGGAACUCGGCAAAAUGCCUCCGUAACUUCGGGAGAAGGAGGCCCCGUCGUUGGGCAACCAGCGGCGGGGGGCACAGACCAGGGGGUGGCGACUGUUUACUAAAAACACAGGUCUCUGCGAAGCCGUAAGGCGACGUAUAGGGACUGACGCCUGCCCGGUGCCGGAAGGUUAAAAGGAGAGGUGCAAGCCUUGAAUUGAAGCCCCGGUAAACGGCGGCCGUAACUAUAACGGUCCUAAGGAAGCGAAAUUCCUUGUCGGGU